CAACAGGGAUUACCUCAGUAACGGCGAGUGAAGCGGUAAAAGCUCAAAUUUGAAAUCUGGCUCUUUCAGAGUCCGAGUUGUAAUUUGUAGAAGAUGCUUCGGGUGUGGUUCCGGUCUAAGUUCCUUGGAACAGGACGUCAUAGAGGGUGAGAAUCCCGUAUGUGACUGGAUACCUAUGCUCAUGUGAAGCUCUUUCGACGAGUCGAGUUGUUUGGGAAUGCAGCUCAAAAUGGGUGGUAUAUUUCAUCUAAAGCUAAAUAUUGGCCAGAGACCGAUAGCGCACAAGUAGAGUGAUCGAAAGAUGAAAAGCACUUUGGAAAGAGAGUUAAACAGUACGUGAAAUUGUUGAAAGGGAAGCGCUUGCAAUCAGACUUGCACUUGGUGUUCAUCAGGGUUUCGUGCCCUGUGUACUUCAUCAAGUUCAGGCCAGCAUCAGUUUGAGUGGUUAGAUAAAGGCUUGGAGAAUGUGGCCCUCUUCGGGGGGUGUUAUAGCUCCAGGUGCAAUGUAGCCUACUUGGACUGAGGACCGCGCUUCGGCUAG
RNAcentral lists this ribosomal RNA (541 nucleotides) under Sclerotinia sclerotiorum. RNAcentral describes it as "eukaryotic LSU rRNA". It matches the Rfam family "Eukaryotic large subunit ribosomal RNA", at positions 66 to 609 of the family's 3401-position model. The record is from RNAcentral. Lineage: Eukaryota; Fungi; Ascomycota; Leotiomycetes; Helotiales; Sclerotiniaceae.